RNAcentral lists this unclassified non-coding RNA (341 nucleotides) under soil metagenome. RNAcentral's name for it is "partial contains 5.8S ribosomal RNA, internal transcribed spacer 2, and large subunit ribosomal RNA". The stretch from base 1 to 120 matches the Rfam family "5.8S ribosomal RNA", at positions 35 to 154 of the family's 154-position model. The record is from RNAcentral.
GAUGAAGAACGUAGCGAAAUGCGAUAAGUAGUGUGAAUUGCAGAAUUCAGUGGAUCAUCGAAUCUUUGAACGCACAUUGCGCCCUUUGGUAUUCCAAAGGGCAUGCCUGUUCGAGCGUCAUUUGUACCCUCAAGCUUUGCUUGGUGUUGGGCGUCUUGUCUCUAGCUUUGCUGGAGACUCGCCUUAAAGUAAUUGGCAGCCGGCCUACUGGUUUCGGAGCGCAGCACAAGUCGCACUCUCUAUCAGCAAAGGUCUAGCAUCCAUUAAGCCUUUUUUUCAACUUUUGACCUCGGAUCAGGUAGGGAUACCCGCUGAACUUAAGCAUAUCAAUAAGCGGAGGA